CCUACGCGAGGCAGCAGUGGGGGAUAUUGCACAAUGGGGGGAACCCUGAUGCAGCGACGCCGCGUGGGUGAAGAAGCGCCUCGGCGCGUAAAGCCCUGUCAGCAGGGACAAAAAUGACGGUACCUGAAGAAGAAGCCCCGGCUAACUACGUGCCAGCAGCCGCGGUAAUACGUAGGGGGCAAGCGUUAUCCGGAUUUACUGGGUGUAAAGGGGGCGCAGACGGCGAUGCAAGCCAGGAGUGAAAGCCCGGGGCACAACCCCGGGACGGCUCGUGGAACUGCGUGGCUGGAGUGCAGGAGGGGCGGGUGGAAUUCCUGGUGGAGCGGUGAAAUGCGUAGAUAUCAGGAGGAACACCGGUGGCGAAGGCGGCCUGCUGGACUGCAACUGACGGUGAGGCCCGAAAGCGUGGGGAGCAAACAGGAUUAGAUACCCUAGUAGUC
RNAcentral lists this ribosomal RNA (440 nucleotides) under uncultured bacterium. RNAcentral describes it as "partial 16S ribosomal RNA". It matches the Rfam family "Bacterial small subunit ribosomal RNA", at positions 338 to 795 of the family's 1533-position model. The record is from RNAcentral.